This 673-nucleotide long non-coding RNA is filed under the name Helianthus annuus (common sunflower). Lineage: Eukaryota; Viridiplantae; Streptophyta; Magnoliopsida; Asterales; Asteraceae. The record is from RNAcentral.
UCAAUUUCUACACUAAACUAUCAUCUGAGAUCUGAAAUCCUAACGACUGGAAUCACUAUCUAUUCCUUCGUUCUUCCGAUUCAACAGACCAUCAGGUUUGUGUUUUUGAAUCUGAGUAUCCAUGAUUUAUAGUGAAUCAAGUCUGCAAAGAUCAGUGGCUACGGAGAAGAGUUCCCAGCGGUAGAUGGUGAUUGAGGUAUGUUCCGACAAACUGAGAUCUAGGGUUUUACUUUAAUUUUUGGAUUUUAUUUAACUACAAUUCGUAAACCAAAUCGGAUAAAUGCAGUUUAAGAGAGGGCUGUCCUGUGAUUCGUGCCAAAGCGUUGCGGGCAGUAAGUGAAUUUUAUAACAAGUUCUAGGGCUUUUAUUUGAUGGAAGAAGUUAACUUGUUGUUGUCUAUCAUUGUUAUGCUGUGAGCAGGUUAGUAUAAUCGUAGAGGCUGAUCCAGAGGUAUUGGGUGAUAAAUACGUUCAGACAGCAGUUGAGGGCAUAGUUUUGUGACUCUGCUAUAUCUGUACGAGAAGCAACACUGGAGCUUCUUGGUCGAUAUAUUGCUUCACAUCCUAAUGUUGCUUUGAGGGUUGAUAACAGAACUGAAAUAGAGAAACAAAUACAUGAAUGGUUGUUGAUCACUUCCUCAAGGAAUGCAAAAUGGUGGUACUCUGCAUAGUUU